UACGUAGGGGGGCAAGCGUUGUCCGGAAUCAUUGGGCGUAAAGAGCGUGUAGGCGGCUCGAUAAGUCUGCUGUGAAAGUCCAGGGCUCAACCCUGGAAGGCCGGUGGAAACUGUCGGGCUAGAGUCCGGAAGAGGCGAGUGGAAUUCCCGGUGUAGCGGUGAAAUGCGCAGAUAUCGGGAGGAACACCAAUGGCGAAGGCAGCUCGCUGGGACGGUACUGACGCUGAGACGCGAAAGCGUGGGGAGCAAACAGG
This 254-nucleotide ribosomal RNA is filed under the name uncultured bacterium. Its description in RNAcentral is "partial 16S ribosomal RNA". It matches the Rfam family "Bacterial small subunit ribosomal RNA", at positions 524 to 776 of the family's 1533-position model. The record is from RNAcentral.